This is a long non-coding RNA of Danaus plexippus (monarch butterfly), 949 nucleotides long. RefSeq lists it as uncharacterized. The transcript has 2 exons. The record is from RefSeq and is a predicted model, not a curated record. Lineage: Eukaryota; Metazoa; Arthropoda; Insecta; Lepidoptera; Nymphalidae.
ACCAUGCCAGUAUAUUAGAUGUUUUCGUCAGUCUUUAUCAUUAUCAUUAUCAGUGGAGCCUUGCAGCGAUAACACGCCUGAUGAUUCAUGACUUCAGAUGACUGCCGGGUGACUUCAUGCACCUCCCGUUAUGGAUCGAAAAGCCAUUUCGAGAACAAUGUUCAAUGAUGACUAAUGUUGACGACUGGUUAACCGUUGAGCAAUAUGUUUUAUAUACGUUUUAUUGAUUACGCCGUUCUUUCAUUUCAUAUAAGUGAAUUGUCUAAAGAAGUCGGUGUCUGCAGCGCGCGGCGCGGGCCCGUUAGCUGGUGCGCGGUCAUCGCUCCGAGCACCGUUCCACUCGACGGACCCCAUCAGCCCCUCCAUCCCCACAAGCCCCGUCAGCCGCGCCGAUUCUCUUACCCCUCGCACUUUCCACUUUCAUGACUAUCUCUUUGAUGAACACAUUCUUAUUAUAGGUAUUCAUUUGCAAGGGAAUUUCUAAGGCUUGAAUAACAUUCGAUUCAUAAAAUAAUAAAUGAACACAAACUUGCGAUUUGUUUUUAAUAAAAUGUGAAAAAAAAAUCAAUGAAACGAUUCGUCGUUGACAAUUAACAAGAAAUAAGCAACAAAAACGCGCAGCGAUCGUGACCGCGGAAACAUUUAGAAACGACAUAUCAUGUAUUUAGCGAUUAAUAGCUCCUUUCGGAGAGUCAUCGGCGGCAGAGUUCAGAGAACGAGCGGUAAGGGGCGGCCUUGUGGAGUGCAGCGGAUCAAUAAACAUACGGUUUGGUUAAAAAUAACUUAAAAGGUAUUGACGACUCACCGAGUCCUAUCUGGCAGAAGAUGACCUCGGCCUCGAUGACGUGAGCAGACGGAGCACGCGGGGGCUGAGGCGACGGCUGCACGGCCGGCUGAGGGGUCGGCUCCUCCUGCUUCUUCUGCACCGGAUCCACGUGGGGCUGCAUAG